Molecule: unclassified non-coding RNA, 288 nt
Filed under: fungal sp.
Lineage: Eukaryota; Fungi
Description: partial internal transcribed spacer region
Rfam family: Eukaryotic small subunit ribosomal RNA (bases 1-46)
Source: RNAcentral
AAGUCGUAACAAGGUUUCCGUAGGUGAACCUGCGGAAGGAUCAUUAGUGAACUGUUGAGGAGAGUUAUUUCGGUAACUCUCUUCAUUCUUGUGAACUGCAAGUAAGUUGGUUCUUUUCAGAUGGCUGUUUCUUUUGAUUAGUACUAUUUCCUUUUGGGUUGUUUUCGAGUAGUAUUAAUUGGGCGGAACAAGUAGCUGAAAGGGAGUAACUUGCUUUUAAUUUUCUGUUUGUAAUUUUUUUUCUUAUUUUCAAUAAGACAACUUUCAGCAAUGGAUCUCUUGGCUCUU